CGCCGCCCAAGUCAAGUACUUGGUGUUGGGGCAUGCGGGUGUGGUCCCACGCCCGCAGCCCUCAAAUUCAGCGGCGGUCCCCGGCGGGUUUCUCCUAGCGCAGUAGAGCAAGCAUCAGCUGCCGCUUCGGAGCCCCCGGGAGGCCGGCCGUAAAGCCCGCCAGCGAAAUACCCAAAAAGCUGCCGAACUUCUCAAAGG
This 198-nucleotide unclassified non-coding RNA is filed under the name uncultured Sordariales. RNAcentral's name for it is "sequence contains ITS2". Lineage: Eukaryota; Fungi; Ascomycota; Sordariomycetes; Sordariales. The record is from RNAcentral.